AACGAACGCUGGCGGCAGGCUUAACACAUGCAAGUCGAACGGUUGUAGCAAUACAGCAGUGGCGCACGGGUGAGUAACGCGUGGAUAUCUGCCUUUUGGUUCGGAAUAACUCCGGGAAACUGGAGCUAAUACCGGAUGGUUCCUACGGGAUAAAGAUUUAUCGCCAAAAGAUGAGUCCGCGUACGAUUAGCUAGUUGGUGGGGUAAUGGCCCACCAAGGCGACGAUCGUUAGCUGGUCUGAGAGGACGAUCAGCCACACUGGGACUGAGACACGGCCCAAGCUCCUACGGGAGGCAGCAGUGGGGAAUAUUGGACAAUGGGGGCAACCCUGAUCCAGCCAUGCCGCGUGAGUGAUGAAGGCCUUCGGGUUGUAAAGCUCUUUUGGCGGGGACGAUGAUGACGGUACCCGCAGAAUAAGCCCCGGCUAACUUCGUGCCAGCCGCCGCCGUAA
RNAcentral lists this ribosomal RNA (451 nucleotides) under uncultured bacterium. Its description in RNAcentral is "partial 16S ribosomal RNA". It matches the Rfam family "Bacterial small subunit ribosomal RNA", at positions 29 to 523 of the family's 1533-position model. The record is from RNAcentral.